RNAcentral lists this long non-coding RNA (954 nucleotides) under Medicago truncatula (barrel medic). RNAcentral describes it as "long non-coding RNA (MTRU_LNC002019)". Lineage: Eukaryota; Viridiplantae; Streptophyta; Magnoliopsida; Fabales; Fabaceae. The record is from RNAcentral.
UUUCUUUUUAUUUUUUUUAGCAAAAUCAUAUUGAAUAAUUCAAAUCCUUGGGAAGAUAACAUCAACUAGAAGCAAAAUUCAUUCUCAGGGAACAACCACAAAAUGAAAAUGAAAAAAGAAUGCAAUGUAUGGAUCUUGCAACUCAUUGAGCUUUGACGUGCUGCAAAACAACAUUGUAGGCUUCAUGUUCCUCCCCAAAAUCCUUGAUCACCACACAGGAGCAGCCGAAUUACUUUUGCACCUUCAUGGAGGUCACGUGCAAUACCACCGUAUGCUAGUGACUUCCUGAGCAAAAGUUGAAAGGGGGUCACGAUGUCCAUUGGCUCGUUUGGAAUUUCAGCACCAGCGGUGGAAACAGGCUCAACUGCAACGACAGCGUCCUCACCUGACAUUUUCCUUGUAGAUAUGAAAAAAUAAGCUAUUUUUUUAUGUUUGUGGCUUCCGACGAAGAACUCCGGCGGCGUUGAGUUCAGUGAGACUACAAAUUCCAAUCCAACCGAGUUGUAACAACGGAUAGAGAACCAAGGGUGAAGAAAGAUCAUGCCAUAGUGAGAGAAAGAGAGAAGUAACAACGCAGGGAAGGGUUUGAGGGCACGGUGGUGGUGAGGGUAUUGGGAAGAGCAUCGUGUUCUCUGAGAGAAGAUAGAAGAGGAUGAAAGAGAGUUGGUUUGUGAGGUGAAAUGACCAAGAUAGCCCUAAUGAGUAGUGCCACAUGGGAGUGUAUAUUGGAGGUGGGGAGUGGUUAUGGUGUAUAAGGAAAUCCUUAUGCACCAUGCAUAAAUCCCAACAUAAUUGCUUCCUACACCCCCAAAGUGAGCCAAAAUUAUUUUUGUUCAAAAUGAAAGAAAUCUGAUGGUUGUGAUGUGUUUAUGCACGGUGCAUAUGGAAAUGGCUUAUGCACUAUAACUUUUGCCUUGGAGGUGUACAAGAAAGGGUGUUCAUGAAUAAUUGUUC